CCUCUCACUCAUUCAUCCAUUCAUCAACAAAACCACCUCCCAAUCUCCUCCGACUUAACCAAAUCAAUCGAACUAAUCGAACCACUGUUAAACCAUCAUCGUUUCUAGUUUUCUGAGUAAGAUCGAUCAUGGGUUUCUUGUCACGAAGGAAGAUGUCGAACGCAGUGGUUUACUCGAUUCUAUUGGGUUUGGUUAUUCUAUCGGCAUCGGUUUUCCCUUAUGCUGAAACGAGACCACUGAAGGAAAAUGGUGGCAACGACAAUUUGUUUAUACUACAGUCUCUACAGAAGGGUCCGGUUAGCGGGUCGGGUCCGAACCCAUGCACCAACAUCGGCGGUCGGAACCCGGGAUCAUGCACCCGUGCGGCUGUCGGGGCCAUGAACUUUGCCGGCAAUGUCUUCGUCCGCCCGCCGCCUACUCCACCCGUUGUCGCAGCAAGUUAAUAUAGUUUUUUUGUUCUUUUUAACUAUAGUUUUUGUGGUUUUGUGUUUUUUAACUUUUGAUUUGAUUCAUGGUACGGAUACGAAUGUAAACAAUUGAACAACUCAUUGAAAUCUAUAAUUACAUAGAUAUUCAUUUGGAUGGUGAUUAAAUUCGAAUUUGAUACUUCUUGUGUUAUUAACUAUAUUAUUUCACUUGAACAUAACAUGUCAUUUGAAUUCCAUACGAGUCAAAUUGUGAGAUUGUAG
Molecule: long non-coding RNA, 689 nt
Filed under: Linum usitatissimum (flax)
Lineage: Eukaryota; Viridiplantae; Streptophyta; Magnoliopsida; Malpighiales; Linaceae
Description: long non-coding RNA (LUSI_LNC004016)
Source: RNAcentral